AUUGAACGCUGGCGGCAGGCCUAACACAUGCAAGUCGAACGGUAACAGGAAACAGCUUGCUGUUUCGCUGACGAGUGGCGGACGGGUGAGUAAUGUCUGGGAAACUGCCUGAUGGAGGGGGAUAACUACUGGAAACGGUAGCUAAUACCGCAUAACGUCGCAAGACCAAAGAGGGGGACCUUCGGGCCUCUUGCCAUCGGAUGUGCCCAGAUGGGAUUAGCUAGUAGGUGGGGUAACGGCUCACCUAGGCGACGAUCCCUAGCUGGUCUGAGAGGAUGACCAGCCACACUGGAACUGAGACACGGUCCAGACUCCUACGGGAGGCAGCAGUGGGGAAUAUUGCGCAAAGGGCGCAAGCCUGAUGCAGCCAUGCCGCGUGUAUGAAGAAGGCCUUCGGGUUGUAAAGUACUUUCAGCGGGGAGGAAGGGAGUAAAGUUAAUACCUUUACUCAUUGACGUUACCCGCAGAAGAAGCACCGGCUAACUCCGUG
This 490-nucleotide ribosomal RNA is filed under the name uncultured bacterium. Its description in RNAcentral is "partial 16S ribosomal RNA". It matches the Rfam family "Bacterial small subunit ribosomal RNA", at positions 30 to 507 of the family's 1533-position model. The record is from RNAcentral.